CCGGUGGGCUGAUAAGGGUCGGGUUGGGCUUGCUAUUUUGAGGCCUGAUCAUAUUUCAGGUGGGGAAAGCCCAGUAGGGCUGGGCCGAGCUGGCCCAUUUGACUGCUCUAAUAGCGUCCCUAUCGCGUACAGGACCCUGUAGUCUUGAUAAGCGUUAUUUACUACCUCAACGUGGCAAAAUCGAACCAAAUUCCCCCCCGGUGUUAAAACGCCGUUACAUUUUUUUUUUUUUAAGAUGGUCCCAUAUUUCUC
RNAcentral lists this long non-coding RNA (252 nucleotides) under Salvia miltiorrhiza (redroot sage). RNAcentral's name for it is "long non-coding RNA (SMIL_LNC000410)". The record is from RNAcentral. Lineage: Eukaryota; Viridiplantae; Streptophyta; Magnoliopsida; Lamiales; Lamiaceae.